Long non-coding RNA from Empidonax traillii (willow flycatcher), 854 nucleotides. RefSeq lists it as uncharacterized. NCBI's taxonomy places the organism in Eukaryota, Metazoa, Chordata, Aves, Passeriformes, Tyrannidae. The transcript is spliced from 5 exons. The record is from RefSeq and is a predicted model, not a curated record.
UAUCUUUGUUCUCUCUGCCAGCCCACAACGAAACAAAGCUCAGCGUGGCAGGAACUGCGACCGGUCACCUGGCCGCAAGUCACAGAGCAGAGACACCGACGAGUCCCAGAUGCUGGACUGUGAUCGAAUCCUGCACGGGGUAAAGGGUGGAAGGAUUUUCUGCAGCGAAUCCUCACAACCAGUCUGCGGCACUGAUGGGAAAACAUACAAAAAUGAAUGUGACUUGUGUUCAGCUGCCAUGAGAGCUUCAAACUUCAUCACGUUAAACCACCAAGGCGAGUGCCGAGAGCCUGCCCCUGAACUGGAGUAAUGGAGUUCAGACUGCCAGCAAACACCAGGAAUCAGCUGUUACCGAAGGGCAAGUAAAGGAAGAGUCGAUGUUGAGCAUCAGGGGAGCUUCCAAGUCCCCAGGACUGCCAGAGCUGCCUUCAACGCCUUCUGCAGCAAACGGCGCCCAUCCUUUUUCAGGUGGAGGGCGAAAGGCUGUGAGGACUCAGUGGUGUCUUCCCAGGUCUUCCCCGUGCGUGCCGUUGCAGUCUCUGCUGCCUCGCUGUGCUUAACGUGCUUCUACAAUAAAGAUAACUCAUCAGCUUCAUGUCACUUUUCUUCACUAAGCCUCAUGGGAGGGACACACGAGUCCCCACUCUGGCUUUACACCAUGUGCUCCUUAGGCAAUAAGCACCCUGAGGUGCACGAGCUGCUGUAAAUACCUGGUGAAGAUGUUGGACCCAAGGAGGAAGAGCGUGGUCUGGGGUUUUGUGAGGAGGGACCAGGGGUCAGGUUCUCUCUGACUCAUUAUGGGGUCUUGGGUCAAUCACUUCACUGCCCUAUCAGCCCUUUUUUCCUGCCUGUAA